CCUACGGGGUGCAGCAGUGGGGAAUAUUGCACAAUGGGGGAAACCCUGAUGCAGCGACGCCGCGUGAGCGAUGACGUAUUUCGGUAUGUAAAGCUCUAUCAGCAGGGAAGAAAAUGACGGUACCUGACUAAGAAGCCCCGGCUAACUACGUGCCAGCAGCCGCGGUAAUACGUAGGGUGCAAGCGUUAUCCGGCUUUACUGGGUGUAAAGGGAGCGUAGACGGCGAUGCAAGCCAGAUGUGAAAGCCCGGGGCUCAACCCCGGGACUGCAUUUGGAACUGUAUGGCUGGAGUGUCGGAGAGGCAGGCGGAAUUCCUAGGGUAGCGGUGAAAUGCGUAGAUAUUAGGAGGAACACCAGUGGCGAAGGCGGCCUGCUGGACGAUGACUGACGUUGAGGCUCGAAAGCGUGGGGAGCAAACAGGAUUAGAUACCCUUGUAGUC
RNAcentral lists this ribosomal RNA (440 nucleotides) under uncultured bacterium. RNAcentral describes it as "partial 16S ribosomal RNA". It matches the Rfam family "Bacterial small subunit ribosomal RNA", at positions 338 to 795 of the family's 1533-position model. The record is from RNAcentral.